GUCUACAGCCAUACCAUGCUGAAUGUUCCCAAUCUCAUCUAGUUUGGAAGCUAAGCAGGGUUGGGCCCGGUUAGUACUUGGAUUGGAAAAUGCAUUGACUGAGCAAGACGUGCCCUUUGAGGCU
Molecule: ribosomal RNA, 124 nt
Organism: Capra hircus (goat)
Lineage: Eukaryota; Metazoa; Chordata; Mammalia; Artiodactyla; Bovidae
Source: Ensembl